RNAcentral lists this ribosomal RNA (803 nucleotides) under Pseudomonas sp. RNAcentral's name for it is "bacterial SSU rRNA". It matches the Rfam family "Bacterial small subunit ribosomal RNA", at positions 137 to 935 of the family's 1533-position model. The record is from RNAcentral. Lineage: Bacteria; Pseudomonadati; Pseudomonadota; Gammaproteobacteria; Pseudomonadales; Pseudomonadaceae.
UGGGGGACAACGUUUCGAAAGGAACGCUAAUACCGCAUACGUCCUACGGGAGAAAGCAGGGGACCUUCGGGCCUUGCGCUAUCAGAUGAGCCUAGGUCGGAUUAGCUUGUUGGUGAGGUAAUGGCUCACCAAGGCGACGAUCCGUAACUGGUCUGAGAGGAUGAUCAGUCACACUGGAACUGAGACACGGUCCAGACUCCUACGGGAGGCAGCAGUGGGGAAUAUUGGACAAUGGGCGAAAGCCUGAUCCAGCCAUGCCGCGUGUGUGAAGAAGGUCUUCGGAUUGUAAAGCACUUUAAGUUGGGAGGAAGGGCAGUAAGUUAAUACCUUGCUGUUUUGACGUUACCGACAGAAUAAGCACCGGCUAACUCUGUGCCAGCAGCCGCGGUAAUACAGAGGGUGCAAGCGUUAAUCGGAAUUACUGGGCGUAAAGCGCGCGUAGGUGGUUUGUUAAGUUGGAUGUGAAAGCCCCGGGCUCAACCUGGGAACUGCAUCCAAAACUGGCAAGCUAGAGUACGGUAGAGGGUGGUGGAAUUUCCUGUGUAGCGGUGAAAUGCGUAGAUAUAGGAAGGAACACCAGUGGCGAAGGCGACCACCUGGACUGAUACUGACACUGAGGUGCGAAAGCGUGGGGAGCAAACAGGAUUAGAUACCCUGGUAGUCCACGCCGUAAACGAUGUCAACUAGCCGUUGGAAUCCUUGAGAUUUUAGUGGCGCAGCUAACGCAUUAAGUUGACCGCCUGGGGAGUACGGCCGCAAGGUUAAAACUCAAAUGAAUUGACGGGGGCCCGCACAAGCGGUGG